CUACGGGUCGCUGCCGUGAGGAAUAUUGCACAAUGGGGGGAACCCUGAUGCAGCAACGCCGCGUGGAGGAUGACGCAUUUCGGUGUGUAAACUCCUUUUAUAUGUCAAGAAAAUGACGGUAGCAUAUGAAUAAGCACCGGCUAACUCCGUGCCAGCAGCCGCGGUAAUACGGAGGGUGCAAGCGUUACUCGGAAUCACUGGGCGUAAAGGACGCGUAGGCUGUUUAGCAAGUCAGAUGUGAAAUCCAAUGGCUCAACCAUUGAACUGCAUUUGAAACUGCUAGACUAGAGUAUGGGAGGGGCAGAUGGAAUUAGUGGUGUAGGGGUAAAAUCCGUAGAUAUCACUAGGAAUACCUAAAGCGAAGGCGAUCUGCUGGAACAUUACUGACGCUAAGGCGUGAAAGCGUGGGGAGCAAACAGGAUUAGAUACCCGUGUAGUC
This 439-nucleotide ribosomal RNA is filed under the name uncultured bacterium. Its description in RNAcentral is "partial 16S ribosomal RNA". It matches the Rfam family "Bacterial small subunit ribosomal RNA", at positions 339 to 795 of the family's 1533-position model. The record is from RNAcentral.